Molecule: long non-coding RNA, 296 nt
Filed under: Gallus gallus (chicken)
Lineage: Eukaryota; Metazoa; Chordata; Aves; Galliformes; Phasianidae
Source: RNAcentral
CAAACCCAGUCCUGCAGAGUAUCAUGCUCACUUGGGAGGAACAGAACUGCUUCUCUUUUUGAGCCUUUUCCAGGCUGAGCAAUCCUAGCUCAUCCAACUUCUCACAUGACACAUUCCAGACUCAAUAAUUUUUGUAGCUCUUUGCUGGACUCAAUUCUGUAGUGGAGAGGCCAGAACUGAACUCAGAACUCCAGAUAUGUCUCUAUAAGACUAACAGAGGGGGGAAGGAUUAUGGCCGCCUACUUGCCAACAAUGCUCAGCUCAACGUGACACAGGAGACCAUCAGCCUUCUUAGC